GGGGCUGACCGGAAUUGACAGCUUGUGCAUGUCGCGAGUAAGCGUGUCGGGAGUUGGAUGAAUCUCCCGUAAAAAAAGCCGUCCGAACAACAACUGGCGAGUAUAGCUACGCCAUGGCUGCUUAGUCUAGGUACUAAGUAAAUGCCAUCGUCCCGCACCCGUAAUCCUUCUCACGGGUGAGUUCGGGGCGUCGUAAGAGGUAGGAUAGUCUUAGGGGCGCUGUGACGCUAAGGCGAAACUCAAACAGAUAAGGACAAACCAAGGGCCUGAUGUGCGCCUGGGAUGUCUCGAAAAUUUAAGCAUAGAUACACACGUAGAAAGCUCGACGCCUUCCUUGUCUGGACCAGGGUUCGAAUCCCUGCAGCUCCACUU
Non-coding RNA from Hymenobacter psychrotolerans DSM 18569, 372 nucleotides. The record is from Rfam. NCBI's taxonomy places the organism in Bacteria, Pseudomonadati, Bacteroidota, Cytophagia, Cytophagales, Hymenobacteraceae.